Long non-coding RNA from Phasianus colchicus (ring-necked pheasant), 489 nucleotides. RefSeq lists it as uncharacterized. NCBI's taxonomy places the organism in Eukaryota, Metazoa, Chordata, Aves, Galliformes, Phasianidae. The record is from RefSeq and is a predicted model, not a curated record.
CGACGACGGUGUUCGGCCGUGGGCGGGAACGGACUGUCGGCGUUGCCAUGGAGACGGCAGGGCGGAAUUUAUCAGCCCCGCCCCUCGGUGGGCUGCCCCUGCGAACGGCGAAAAAUAGUGACCUUCAGUCCUGAAGAUUGGGUCUUUUCUAGACGAAGAAAGCAUCUCCCACUUUUGUCUGCAGAAGUUUCUCCUAAGCAUUUGAACUGCAUUCUGUCUGUACAGCUUUAGCUGCCUGAAGGAUUGCCCGUUCAGUUGCCUGAUGCUGGAACACUGUGAAAAAGGAAUAAAGAAAAGCACAUCAGUGCUGUCAAAAUUCAGAACUCUCCUGCAGCAGCAGAGUAUAACAACAUCUCAUUGAACUUCUUUCAUCCAACACUUUGUUACUUCAUGAUGCAUGUUCCUAGUUCCUGGGGAAGGAUAGCCCAGUGACCACUGAUCAUGGCUCUCAAUUUUUGUCCAGCAUUCUAGUUACCCUCCACAUUCAGA